This 572-nucleotide long non-coding RNA is filed under the name Solanum tuberosum (potato). RNAcentral's name for it is "long non-coding RNA (STUB_LNC008403)". The record is from RNAcentral. Lineage: Eukaryota; Viridiplantae; Streptophyta; Magnoliopsida; Solanales; Solanaceae.
GCCACCACAAGGCUCACAUAAGAUUCCUGCCUCAACCUUUCAAUUGAAAACAGACAGAUAAAGAGUUCGAAAGCAGCACACCAUCUCAGUAAGCAAGAAACGCAGAUGGCAAGAGGUAAAGAUUCAGUAUCUUAAAAUGGAGAGCAGAUGAUAUUAAUAGAAAAUGGGGUUAAACCAAUGCAGAUCUAAACUAUCUACCAAGGGUCACUGCAAAGGGACCAUCCUUACAGUUGAAGAUUUGAAGAAAAGGAAGAUAGCAUCCUUACAUGGUUUUGUCUUUUUAAAAUCAGCAGCUUUAUCAUAAAUAAUAGUUAUUUGAAUAAAAUGCUUCUGAAAAGUUAAGAGCAAUCAAUGCACUUUACAUAGCCUACUUCUAAAUAGUUAGACAACAUUGUGUACAUUAAGAUGAUGUUGCUUAAAAGCACUUUACAUCUUUCUACCCUUUUUCUCCCUCACAGCUCUGGUGGCAUGCUUAUAUAUGCUGAUGAUGUUGCUUUAAACUAUCUUUUCUUAUGCUUGUUUCUGAGUAACUAAUUCCUUGUUUCUUUCAUUUGCCUAAAAGUCAUUCUGUA